This 442-nucleotide ribosomal RNA is filed under the name uncultured bacterium. RNAcentral's name for it is "partial 16S ribosomal RNA". It matches the Rfam family "Bacterial small subunit ribosomal RNA", at positions 338 to 795 of the family's 1533-position model. The record is from RNAcentral.
CCUACGGGAGGCAGCAGUGGGGAAUAUUGCGCAAUGGGGGCAAGCCUGAUGCAGCGACGCCGCGUGGACGAAGAAGUCUUUCGGGAUGUAAAGCCCUUUCAACAGGGAAGAGAAGAUGACGGUACCUGUUUAAUAAGCCCCGGCUAACUACGUGCCAGCAGCCGCGGUAAUACGUAGGGGGCAAGCGUUGUCCGGAUUUACUGGGUGUAAAGGGCGGGCAGGCGGGCCGGCAAGUCUGAUGUGAAAGCCCGCGGCCCAACCGCGGAACUGCAUUGGAAACUGCCGGGCUGGAGUGCCGGAGAGGUCGGCGGAAUUCCUAGUGUAGCGGUGAAAUGCGUAGAUAUUAGGAGGAACACCAGUGGCGAAGGCGGAUGACUGGACGGCGACUGACGGUGAGGCGCGAAAGCGUGGGGAGCAAACAGGAUUAGAUACCCUAGUAGUC